UACGGGGGGAGCAAGCGUUGUUCGGAUUUACUGGGCGUAAAGGCGCGUAGGCGGCGUGACAAGUCACUUGUGAAAUCUCCGGGCUUAACUCGGAACGGUCAAGUGAUACUGUCGGACUAGAGUACAGAAGGGGCAACUGGAAUUCUCGGUGUGAGCGGUGAAAUGCGCAGAUAUCAGGAGGAACACCGGUGGCGAAGGCGGAUCUCUGGGCCAUUACUGACGCUGAGGAGCGAAAGCGUGGGGAGCGAACAGG
RNAcentral lists this ribosomal RNA (253 nucleotides) under uncultured bacterium. RNAcentral describes it as "partial 16S ribosomal RNA". It matches the Rfam family "Bacterial small subunit ribosomal RNA", at positions 524 to 776 of the family's 1533-position model. The record is from RNAcentral.